CCUACGGGAGGCUGCAGUGGGGAAUAUUGGGCAAUGGAGGAAACUCUGACCCAGCAACGCCGCGUGAAUGAUGAAGGUCUUCGGAUUGUAACGUUCUUUUCUAAGGGAAGAAGAAAGUGACGGUACCUUAGGAAUAAGCCUCGGCUAACUACGUGCCAGCAGCCGCGGUAAUUCGUAGGAGGCGAGCGUUAUCCGGAAUGGCUGGGGGUAAAGGGUGCGUUGGUGGUUUGGCAAGGUAGUAGCGUAACUCCAAGGCUCAACCUUGGAACUACUACUAAAACUGUUGGACGUGAGUGCAGGAGGGGAAACCGGAAUUCGUGGUGUAGCGGUGGAAUGCGUAGAUAUUAGGAGGAACACCAGUGGCGAAGGCGGGUUGCUGGACUGUAACUGACACUGAGGCACGAAAGCGUGGGGAGCAAACAGGAUUAGAUACCCCAGUAGUC
RNAcentral lists this ribosomal RNA (443 nucleotides) under uncultured bacterium. Its description in RNAcentral is "partial 16S ribosomal RNA". It matches the Rfam family "Bacterial small subunit ribosomal RNA", at positions 338 to 795 of the family's 1533-position model. The record is from RNAcentral.